AUGGAGGUGGUAAGCGCGAUCGUCAAGGUGGUGCAGGAGAUAGCAAAGGCGGUGGAGACGGACCGGGAGAACAGUGAGAGCUGCCUUGACCUCGCCGACCGCGCGCGCACCGUCGGCGACAUCAUCCACCACCUCGACUCCUCCACGGCGAGCACGAGGAGCAGCGGCAGCGGCCGCACGGUGAUGAUAAGAGAGCCCUCGCUGAAGAGGCUGAAGGCCGCGCUCAACGACGCGCUCAAGCUCGUCGAGUCCCAGCAGCCGAGCGGCUUCCUUGGCGGCCAUGUCAACAGGCUGAUCAACAGCGGCACGACGGCCGACAGAUUCCAACGUGUCGAGGCGAGGAUCAACGCCUGCGUCAACGACGUCGGCCUGGCGGAGCAGUUCGCCGCUCGCCAUCGUGCCCUCCGUGCCAACAGGAGGACCGUCUCGGCACCCUCCCUUGCUCCGGAGCGUCACCACCAGAGCUCGCAAUCUGCGCCGCCGCCCUCGCAGCACCAGCAACGCUUCCUGUCCACACUGGGGUCGUCACAGCAGCACGAGAGCUCGCGGCCCACGACGUCGCCGUUGCAGCAACGCCGGAGCCCACGACUGUCGCAGCAGAACCAGAGCUUCCAGUCCGAGGAGUGGUCGACCCAGCAGCAACGGAGCUCGCACACGACGCCCCCGUCACAGCAGCACCAGAACAUGCGGCAACACCAGCAGCAGCGGAGGCUCCAGUCGGGGGAGUCGUCGUCGCAACAGCAACAGAACUCGCAGUCCGCGGUGCGAUCACCGCAGCAGGGUCGUAGCAGGCGGCAACACCUGGACUCUCAGCCCGCAGCCCCGCACCACUACCGUCGCAGGUCCGCACUAACACCUAAUCAAGCGCGCGAGCUUGCAUCAGCAAUUAGCUCGCAGCCCGCACCACCACCGCGCGGGGCCGGGGCAGCAGCACCAUAA
This 939-nucleotide ribosomal RNA is filed under the name Triticum aestivum (bread wheat). Its description in RNAcentral is "partial small subunit ribosomal RNA". The record is from RNAcentral. Lineage: Eukaryota; Viridiplantae; Streptophyta; Magnoliopsida; Poales; Poaceae.